This is a long non-coding RNA of Carassius auratus (goldfish), 1925 nucleotides long. RefSeq lists it as uncharacterized. The record is from RefSeq and is a predicted model, not a curated record. NCBI's taxonomy places the organism in Eukaryota, Metazoa, Chordata, Actinopteri, Cypriniformes, Cyprinidae. The transcript is spliced from 3 exons.
GUUACCAACAUUCUUCAAAAUAUCUUCUUAUGUGUUCAGCAGCAGAAAUAAACUCAUUUAGGUUUGUCUGUAAAAGGUGAAAGAAUUUUAACUUCAGGGUGAACUAUCCAUAAAACUGACAACCGAAUUAUUUACACACUAAUAAUGUCACUUAAUCUGCUGGUAAUUUUGGCCUUGUUGUAUUUGGGAGACAACAGGAACUUGUCAUCUUUUAUGCCGUACAAUAGGAAGAAAGUCAAAAGACUACUUGAUUUAACUUUAUAGCAUUAUGUGUACAAGUUUGGAUGUGUGGCGCGAUCGUGCAGAAUGAGCGAGGAUCGAUGUGACCCUUAAAAGCGUUUAACCUGCUCUAUGCCACUCAACUCAGUUACAGCUGUGGAGGUUUGCAUAGCAACAACCGCGCCGCUCAACGUAAGGGGACAUCUUUAUCUGACCAACCUCUUUCAAAAACGAAAAUAUAUAUUUACUUCUGUUCAUAUAUAUUUUUUGCCAUCAUAUCAAAGACAAGUUACAAUAAACAUUCUGUAAGACGCCUGUUUGUUACUUGUAAAUACGUAACUUCAAUAUUAACUUUUGUUUGCCGUUUUUGAAGUUCGCUGGUGUUGAAAUCUGCACAGCAACAAGCGCCAUGAUUGCGUUUUCUGAGUCCCCUAGUAACUGGCGCGCGCGGUUUCUGUCCAAUAAAAGAGCGCGUGAUGUGUUCGCACUUACGCGGUGGAACUGUUUUACCCAACAUCCCUACUUUUCAUAGGAUUAUUUAAUUAUUGUUUAAAAAAAACGUUAUUUUUGACUGACAUCACCUUCUUGUCCUUUUGGGGUAACUAGUAAGCAGAUGUCAAGGUAAAUGGACCAAGAGAAGGUAAAGUAGACACAGUGUUUCAUCCUGGUCUUCAAGUCGACCUUUUUUUUUAUGUUUUCUGAUUUAGCUUAAUAAUUCGUAUAUAGUCGUUAUCUUGUAAAGGUGAGAGAGCGUUUUGACGUACUACUUUUGUUGACAUGCACAUUUCUAUUCUACGGUGGAUUUUCCUGGAAAAGUACACUAUGCUCAAAAUCUAUUUGUAUACUCUUAACUCUCAGGUCAGUUGUGGUAAUUUGGUCCCUGUUCUGAGAAAAACAUGAUAUAUUCACACCGUACUUACUCAACCUGCCUGCCUCUCUGAUGAAAUCACCAUUACCAGGUAAGUGAUUAAAAAGUUCACUGUAUCCAAACCUUCAUUUAGAGAGAAUUGACAAAAGCGGAUAACUUCAGAAAACCAGCAACUGUGAAAACAUUUGAACCGAGUGCAUUCUGAGUGUAUUUAUGCAAGCUGUCUAAUUUAAUUGUAUUUCUCUAAAAUUAUUUUCAUAUUCAAUAUACGAUUUGUAAGUAGAUUCAUACAUGUAAUUCAAAUCAGUCAAGAUGUGAAUUUUUGAAGAACCAUAUGAGUAAGCUGAAGCUUUCAUGCAGUUGAGUACAAAACUAUCUUUGAAAUGACUCUCAUAGGGGAGUGUAAGAAAUAAUUUACAUGACGCGUGCAAAGUGCAAAAUAACGGUGCUAAUAAUAACUAUUUCAGGCAUGACUAACUUUCAAUAUUUAUCCUGCUCUUAUUCUGAUGUUAGUUGUUUUCGUAAACCCCCAGGUUUCUGCUCGAUUCAGUAAACGCACAUGUGCUAUUGUACCAGGUGAUCCAAUACUAACAAUAAACUUCUGGUGUAACACAAGCAAGAGGACAGUGAAGCAUCUGCUGUCUAUAAGGGCACUUCAUGAGGAUAUAGGACUUUUUUUCCUAUAUACUGCCAGUGUUUUAUGCAUUUCAGAAAAUAAUUCCACUAAACCAUGCUUCUUAUAACCAGUAUUUAAAAUGGUUGAACCAGUGUUGUACUCACAGUUAGUUGACUAUGUCACAGCUCAGUGUCAAACUACAUUCCUUUCCUGGAGAAAACA